GGGAUAGAAUUCCAGGAGUAGCGGUGAAAUGCGUAGAUAUCUGGAGGAAUACCAAAGGCGAAGGCAGUCCCCUGGUCCGAUACUGACACUGAGGUACGAAAGCGUGGGGAGCAAACAGGAUUAGAUACCCUGGUAGUCCACGCCCUAAACGAUGUCGAUUAGCCAUUGGAAGGACCCCUUUUCCUUUCAGUGACGUAGCUAACGCGUUAAAUCGACCGCCUGGGAAGUACGACCGCAAGGUUAAAACUCAAAGGAAUUGACGGGGACCUGAACAAGCGGUGAAUGAUGUGGAUUAAUUCGAUGCUACGCGAAGAACCUUACCUACCUUUGACAUGGCCAAAGUUCUACCGAGAGGCGGAAGUACUCGUAAGAGGAUUGGCGCACAGGUGCUGCAUGGUUGUCGUCAGCUCGUGUCGUGAGAUGUUGGGUUCAGUCCCGCAACGAACGCAACCCUUAUCUUUAAUUGCUCCUAUUUUAACAGGCACUUUAAAGAAACUGCCAAUGAUAAGUUGGAGGAAGGUGGGGAUCACGUCAAGUCCGCAUGGCCUUUAUAGGUAGGGCUUCACACGUCAUACAAUGGUUAGAACAAAGAGCUGCAAAUUCGUAAGAAGGAGCCAAUCUCACAAACCUAACCUCAGUUCGAAUUGCGGUCUGCAACUCGAGCGCAUGAAGCCGGAAUCGCUAGUAAUCGUGGAUCAGAAUGCCACGGUGAAUACGUUCUUAGGUCUU
This 729-nucleotide ribosomal RNA is filed under the name Candidatus Tremblayella phenacoccinincola. RNAcentral describes it as "bacterial SSU rRNA". It matches the Rfam family "Bacterial small subunit ribosomal RNA", at positions 658 to 1382 of the family's 1533-position model. The record is from RNAcentral. Lineage: Bacteria; Pseudomonadati; Pseudomonadota; Betaproteobacteria.